RNAcentral lists this ribosomal RNA (462 nucleotides) under uncultured archaeon. RNAcentral describes it as "bacterial SSU rRNA". It matches the Rfam family "Archaeal small subunit ribosomal RNA", at positions 53 to 519 of the family's 1478-position model. The record is from RNAcentral.
GCGAGUCAAGGUGUCUUCGGACGCCGGCGUACGGCUCAGUAACACGUAGGUAACCUACCCUCAGGACUGAGAUAACCCCGGGAAACUGGGGCUAAUAUUAGAUAGAUAAAAGAUACUGGAAUGUUCUUUUAUCCAAAGCUUUUGCGCCUGAGGAUGGGCCUGCGUCCGAUUAGGUUGUUGGUGGGGUAAUGGCCCACCAAGCCUACGAUCGGUACGGGCAGUGAGAGCUGAAGCCCGGAGUUGGGGACUGAGACAAGGCCCCAGGCCCUACGGGGCGCAGCAGGCGCGAAACCUCUGCAAUGCGGGAAACCGUGACAGGGGGAUCCCAAGUGCUCAUGCAUUGCAUGGGCUGUUCUUUGGUCUAAGUAACCAGAGGAGUAAGGGCUGGGCAAGACCGGUGCCAGCCGCCGCGGUAAUACCGGCAGCUCAAGUGGUAGCCGCGAUUAUUGGGCCUAAAGCGUU